Molecule: ribosomal RNA, 497 nt
Filed under: uncultured bacterium
Lineage: Bacteria
Description: partial 16S ribosomal RNA
Rfam family: Bacterial small subunit ribosomal RNA
Source: RNAcentral
GAUGAACGCUGGCGGCGUGCCUAAUACAUGCAAGUCGAGCGAACGGACGAGAAGCUUGCUUCUCUGAUGUUAGCGGCGGACGGGUGAGUAACACGUGGAUAACCUACCUAUAAGACUGGGAUAACUUCGGGAAACCGUAGCUAAUACCGGAUAAUAUUUUGAACCGCAUGGUUCAAAAGUGAAAGACGGUCUUGCUGUCACUUAUAGAUGGAUCCGCGCUGCAAUAGCUAGUUGGUAAGGUAACGGCUUACCAAGGCAACGAUGCAUAGCCGACCUGAGAGGGUGAUCGGCCACACUGGAACUGAGACACGGUCCAGACUCCUACGGGAGGCAGCAGUAGGGAAUCUUCCGCAAUGGGCGAAAGCCUGACGGAGCAACGCCGCGUGAGUGAUGAAGGUCUUCGGAUCGUAAAACUCUGUUAUUAGGGAAGAACAUAUGUGUAAGUAACUGUGCACAUCUUGACAGUACCUAAUCAGAAAGCCACGGCUAACUACGUG